This 569-nucleotide ribosomal RNA is filed under the name uncultured bacterium. RNAcentral describes it as "partial 16S ribosomal RNA". It matches the Rfam family "Bacterial small subunit ribosomal RNA", at positions 355 to 912 of the family's 1533-position model. The record is from RNAcentral.
UGGGGAAUUUUGGACAAUGGGCGAAAGCCUGAUCCAGCAAUGCCGCGUGUGUGAAGAAGGCCUUCGGGUUGUAAAGCACUUUUGUCCGGAAAGAAAUCCUUGGCUCUAAUACAGUCGGGGGAUGACGGUACCGGAAGAAUAAGCACCGGCUAACUACGUGCCAGCAGCCGCGGUAAUACGUAGGGUGCAAGCGUUAAUCGGAAUUACUGGGCGUAAAGCGUGCGCAGGCGGUUUGCUAAGACCGAUGUGAAAUCCCCGGGCUCAACCUGGGAACUGCAUUGGUGACUGGCAGGCUAGAGUAUGGCAGAGGGGGGUAGAAUUCCACGUGUAGCAGUGAAAUGCGUAGAGAUGUGGAGGAAUACCGAUGGCGAAGGCAGCCCCCUGGGCCAAAUACUGACGCUCAUGCACGAAAGCGUGGGGGAGCAAAACAGGAUUAGAUACCCUGGUAGUCCACGCCCUAAAACGAUGUCAACUAGUUGUUGGGGAUUCAUUUCCUUAGUAACGUAGCUAACGCGUGAAGUUGACCGCCUGGGGGAGUACGGUCGCAAGAUUAAAACUUAAAUGAAUUG